UACGGAGGGUGCAAGCGUUAAUCGGAAUUACUGGGCGUAAAGGGUGCGUAGGCGGUUGUUUAAGUCUGUUGUGAAAUCCCCGGGCUCAACCCUGGGAAUGGCAAUGGAUACUGGACAGCUAGAGUGUGUCAGAGGAUGGUGGAAUUCCCGGUGUAGCGGUGAAAUGCGUAGAGAUCGGGAGGAACAUCAGUGGCGAAGGCGGCCAUCUGGGACAACACUGACGCUGAAGCACGAAAGCGUGGGGAGCAAACAGG
This 254-nucleotide ribosomal RNA is filed under the name uncultured bacterium. RNAcentral describes it as "partial 16S ribosomal RNA". It matches the Rfam family "Bacterial small subunit ribosomal RNA", at positions 524 to 776 of the family's 1533-position model. The record is from RNAcentral.